UGGGGAAUAUUGCGCAAUGGCCGAAAGGCUGACGCAGCGACGCCGCGUGGGGGAUGAAGCAUUUCGGUGUGUAAACCCCUGUUGCCCGGGACGAACAAGCAGAUUUUUCUGCUCUGACGGUACCGGGUGAGGAAGCACCGGCUAACUCCGUGCCAGCAGCCGCGGUAAUACGGAGGGUGCGAGCGUUGUUCGGAGUUACUGGGCGUAAAGAGUGCGUAGGCGGCGAGCCAAGUUUGGUGUGAAAUCUCCCGGCUUAACCGGGAGGGUGCGCCGAAAACUGGUUGGCUGGAGUAUGGGAGAGGAAAGCAGAAUUCCUGGUGUAGCGGUGAAAUGCGUAGAUAUCAGGAGGAACACCUGCGGUGUAGACAGCUUUCUGGACCAAAACUGACGCUGAGGCACGAAAGCGUGGGUAGCAAACA
This 419-nucleotide ribosomal RNA is filed under the name uncultured bacterium. RNAcentral's name for it is "bacterial SSU rRNA". It matches the Rfam family "Bacterial small subunit ribosomal RNA", at positions 355 to 774 of the family's 1533-position model. The record is from RNAcentral.